GGCCUUGACAUACUAAGAACUUUCCAGAGAUGGAUUGGUGCCUUCGGGAACUUAGAUACAGGUGCUGCAUGGCUGUCGUCAGCUCGUGUCGUGAGAUGUUGGGUUAAGUCCGCAACGAGCGCAACCCUUCUCCUUAUUUGCCAGCGGGUUAAGCCGGGAACUUUAAGGAUACUGCCAGUGACAAACUGGAGGAAGGCGGGGACGACGUCAAGUCAUCAUGGCCCUUACGGCCAGGGCUACACACGUGCUACAAUGGUCGGUACAAAGGGUUGCUACCUCGCGAGAGGAUGCUAAUCUCAAAAAGCCGAUCGUAGUCCGGAUCGCAGUCUGCAACUCGACUGCGUGAAGUCGGAAUCGCUAGUAAUCGCGGAUCAGAAUGCCGCGGUGAAUACGUUCCCGGGCCUUGUACACACCGCCCGUCACACCAUGGGAGUUUGUUGCACCAGAAGUAGGUAGUCUAACCGCAAGGAGGACGCUUACCACGGUGUGGCCGAUGACUGGGGUGAAGUCGUAACAAGGUAGGCGUAGAUGA
Molecule: ribosomal RNA, 532 nt
Filed under: uncultured bacterium
Lineage: Bacteria
Description: bacterial SSU rRNA
Rfam family: Bacterial small subunit ribosomal RNA
Source: RNAcentral